GCACGGCCAUGGCAUUUUUGUAAAUAAACCAUCCACUUAAUCAAACGGCCGCGUUUUGGGCGCUGGAAAGAAAUGUUUUCAUUGGCUGGCAUGGGGAAACAGUAACAUGCGUACGUGAUGUUCCAAUUUUCUGGGCGUGGCUUGAAGAUUUCUAGGGUUUCUGGGCACAGUAUGCAUGUUCAUCAUUCCAAAUUCGAGCUCAUCAAAAUUUUUCCAGAAUUCUCAAUUGAACACACACAAAUGAUCAUCAAGGCAUGGCAAACACGAAUCCAUCAUCACUUUUCA
Molecule: long non-coding RNA, 285 nt
Filed under: Lathyrus oleraceus (garden pea)
Lineage: Eukaryota; Viridiplantae; Streptophyta; Magnoliopsida; Fabales; Fabaceae
Description: Pisum sativum (pea) long non-coding RNA (PSAT_LNC006132)
Source: RNAcentral